Molecule: ribosomal RNA, 497 nt
Filed under: uncultured bacterium
Lineage: Bacteria
Description: partial 16S ribosomal RNA
Rfam family: Bacterial small subunit ribosomal RNA
Source: RNAcentral
GAUGAACGCUGGCGGCGUGCCUAAUACAUGCAAGUCGAGCGAACGGACGAGAAGCUUGCUUCUCUGAUGUUAGCGGCGGACGGGUGAGUAACACGUGGAUAACCUACCUAUAAGACUGGGAUAACUUCGGGAAACCGGAGCUAAUACCGGAUAAUAUUUUGAACCGCAUGGUUCAAAAGUGAAAGACGGUCUUGCUGUCACUUAUAGAUGGAUCCGCGCUGCAUUAGCUAGUUGGUAAGGUAACGGCUUACCAAGGCAACGAUGCAUAGCCGACCUGAGAGGGUGAUCGGCCACACUGGAUCUGAGACACGGUCCAGACUCCUACGCGAGGCAGCAGUCGGCAAUCUUCCGCAAUGGGCGAAAGCCUGACGGAGCAACGCCGCGUGGGUGAUGAAGGUCUUCGGAUCGUAAAACUCUGUUAUUAGGGAAGAACAUAUGUGUAAGUAACUGUGCACAUCUUGACGGUACCUAAUCAGAAAGCCACGGCUAACUACGUG